RNAcentral lists this ribosomal RNA (120 nucleotides) under Triticum aestivum (bread wheat). RNAcentral describes it as "partial small subunit ribosomal RNA". Lineage: Eukaryota; Viridiplantae; Streptophyta; Magnoliopsida; Poales; Poaceae. The record is from RNAcentral.
UUAGCUGAGCAAGAUAUGCUUCGAUGUUACGGGAAGUUGGUACUCAAUGAUCGCCUAUUUCAAGCUCUGAAGGAGCUGCCCAUUACCAUGAGGAAGACAUGGCUGCUAAUGUUGCCUUGA